This 24-nucleotide non-coding RNA is filed under the name Arabidopsis thaliana (thale cress). Lineage: Eukaryota; Viridiplantae; Streptophyta; Magnoliopsida; Brassicales; Brassicaceae. The record is from RNAcentral.
UCAAACAGAGUUAUCGAGUGUCAC